Molecule: non-coding RNA, 73 nt
Organism: Danio rerio (zebrafish)
Lineage: Eukaryota; Metazoa; Chordata; Actinopteri; Cypriniformes; Danionidae
Source: Rfam
GGCCCAGUGGCCUAAUGGAUAAGGCACCAGACUUCGAAGCUGGGGAUUGUGGGUUCAAGUCCCACCGGGGUUG